This 6768-nucleotide long non-coding RNA is filed under the name Triticum aestivum (bread wheat). RNAcentral describes it as "long non-coding RNA (TAES_LNC028617)". The record is from RNAcentral. Lineage: Eukaryota; Viridiplantae; Streptophyta; Magnoliopsida; Poales; Poaceae.
ACACCAUAAAACAAACCAUCAUUGUUGUUAUACAGAAUAUCUUGAUAUUCCCAGCAAUUUCCUUUUCCACCAAUCCAAGUCCAUUUGGCGUCCCCAACCCUAGCAUAAGAGAGUUGAUUAUUGGGCAAUUGUACUCGGAGUACUGUGCAGUUUCCUUGGGAGGGAUUGCAAGAAAGAACUGUUGGAAUUGAUCUCACGGUAAACAAACCAAGAGAAAAAUAAGGGAGACAAAGUCUCCACCCUCUCACGAGUGUGCCUUGAUCGGGAGCACAUAUAACAACUUUUGGUUCUGGUCCCAUGUACCCAACACACACAUAUAUAAGGAAAAAAAGGGGGUUUUGUUACUGAUAACAGAACCACAAUCAAAGCCUCCUAACUGCCGAUCCUAAACGUGUGGUGAGGUACGUGAAGACCAUCGACCACCACCGGCCGCCGUGAAGACAGUGCUGGCGGUUUCCUCCUGCCAUCGGCAAGGCUCCUGGAGCAGCUGCUGCAUCUCCACAAGUGCCUGCUGCCAUCUACGUCACCCAGGUGGUGUUGCCCUUCUUCCCCAGGCAUGUCUUCACUGUCGGAGACCCCAAGGUGCCGCCAUGGGCUAUCUCCUGCUGAUCCCUGCCAAUCACGGUUAGUCACUACUAUUCCGCAUAAGAGGUGUUCUAAUCACGAGAUCAAGAUCAUGGGUUAAUUUAAUCUAAAGGAAUUAUGUCUAACAUUGGUAUCUAGAGCAAGGUAAAUCUCGGUUAGAACCCUAACUUGGCUUCUGCUUAAUGUAAUUACUAUCAUGACGUCCAACUGUUUUUGGGUUAUUGCAAAUUGGGUGAAAUUAAGAUCUAAUGUUGUUUCUGUUAAGCACCUAAUGAGGCAUGUUUACAUGUCUAUGCCGCAAUCCGAAUGAUCACCCUUUUUAGCACUAAUCGCUUUCGGUUAAUGUUUAAAGCCUCAAGAUUAUAUAUUUUCGGCUAACCAUGUUUAAGCCCAUUGUUUUCUGUUAAAGAUGUUUAAUCAAGUUUAGUGAUCAUUUUAUCUGUUAGUUGCAAUUAGCUCUAUUUGCGGCUCAAAUCUCAGGAUGUAAAUCAGGAGGUGAUUGGGCAAACUAAUGAAAUCCCCAAUAUUCCCAAUCAACCGAAACCCAAACCCUAGAAAAAUUCCCCAAACCAGAACGCGAAAGCUGAAAUUGAGCGAAGAAAUGGAUUGGCCUUCACCUAAUGACGUCGUGCCGGUGCUCUCCUUCGGGAUCCCGACACCGGCGACGCCGCUGUCUCACGGGGAAAGAAUUGGCCGGCCACGCCGCCCUUAUGGACGCAAACGCCGUGUGGCCCCUGUGCCGCAAACGUCGUCGUCUACUCCCAAAGAUCAGGCGCCGGCGGUCGCCUCCCCAACUCGCCGUCGAGCGCCUCGUGCGCGUCGCCGGCACGGACUGCCUCCCAGCGCACCAUGAGGUCGACACGGCUAGCACCGUUCGGUGGAGGAGCGCGCGGCCUUGAGCCUGCAGGCACGCUGCUCCGACGAACGGGGCUACCGCACCGCCAUGGCCGGCGUGCCUUGGGUCGCCGCCGGGAUCGCCUCUCCUGUGGAGCCGUGGAAAUCGGGGGGAGAAGGGGAAAUGAGGCUAGGGUUUGACCCAGUGCCGAUUUUGCUCGAGCUCGAGCUAAUCUGGCCCGUCGAUUCCACCGGACGGUCGCGAUCGACGCGGAGCUCAGGGCGUCUGCUGGCGCUUAACCCUGCCAAAUGAAUAAGUGGGCUACGACCCAACUUAUUUUUUUUAACGUUCGGUGCAUUUUCUCUGCUAGCCCGAACUUUUAACGAGCAGUACAGUCCGAAAUUGAAGUUAAGUGCUAUUUUUUUCAGUGCUUUUCUAAAUUAUGAUUAUCCUCAAAAUGUUUUUUGCACUGUUAUAAACUGAAAAUAGCCAGAAAAGUUUUCUUGUAAAUCUAACUUGAGUUUUCUGAGUGGAACCUACAAGAAUAUUUUCUUGGAAAAUUCAUGUGCCCAAGGUCAUGUAAAAUAAUGCUAAUAAUGAUAAAGUUUUCUUAAUGAAAAACCUUGGGUAAUUAUGGGCCAGAUUAUGUUCUUUAAAAAAGGUGCAUUUGAUGUAUGUUACUUUUUUUUGGCAACAAUGUAUUAAUUGCCUGAAGAUAUGUUAAGAUCGUAUAUAAAAUUUAUCGUAGGAAAUUUUAUCUAGAGAUAUUUAUGUGUGGUCAUGUUAAUGUCAUUUUAUGGCAAUUCUUAAUGAUGGUCGUACAAUGCUAUUUGUUUUGAAGAUAUUUUAUUUAGAUUUUUUUUAUUGUGAAAUUCGUAUUGAGGCAAGCCUUAUGGCAUCUCUUAAUGAUGUGAUCCGUACUAAUGGCUGAGGCCACCUCACAAAAAAAAUGUUAAUGGUCGCAUUGGUGGUUUUCCGCGCCACACUAUGCACCUAAUAAUGUUGGGCUAGUGUUCUCGUUGAACAAUACUAAUGUCUUAUGUUGUUACCUUUUUUAUUAAUAUAUGCAUUAUUGAAAUAAGCAUAAUGACCCGAAAUGAUGUUGAUAAAAUUUGCUAAAGCACAUGUCAUUUACUUGACAUUUUCAUUUACCAAAUAUUACUAUUUGGUGAAUCCUCAUGGUAUUUGAUGUACAAAUUUUAUCAACUGUAAAUGUUAUAAUAUAUUCAUCGUGUUCACUGUGAAUGCCAAGUUUAACUUUUAUUCAGUGACAAUGACAAUCAUUUUUGUUAAUUCGAGUGUCAGUUUCAUUGUGUGUCAUUGAGAAUUUUAAUGAUCAUUUUGACACUAAGGUUUAAUGUUAUUUUCAAUGUCAAUCAAGUGACAAAAUUGAAAACAAGAUGUUUACAACAUGUUGUGAAUCCUUGUGUCCCAUGACACAUUUGAGUGGAUUGUAUUGUUGCCUUUGUGUUAAUGAAUGUUAUUAGUAUUGCUAAUGUCAUUGUUGGUCACUAUGUGACUUUAUGUUUUUCUAGUCAAAAUGGAACUAAAGAGAUGUUUUGAUUAGAUAUUUAAUGAGCAAAUAUUAUUAUGGCAUAUGAUGAUAUUCUGACCGACGUUGAUUACUUUUCAUGUGCCAUAUAUAAAUAAGUAAGGUUAUUUUAUGUUUUCUGCCCAACGGUGAUACAGAUUGAAAUAAUAAUUAAGCAUGUCUUUAAUUCAUCUCAUUGCAUGAUUAAUUUAUGCUUAUGUUUUAUUAUGAUGUUCAUAAAGUUUCCUCCUCUUUUCAAGUAAUGAACUUUACUAAUGAUGCCAAAUUUUAUUUUUGGCAUAGACAAGGUUUAUGUAAAUAACUUUCCCAAGUGGAGAGUAGAGAUCCCUGUCUCGUGUAAGAAAACUCCCAAUGUUUCUACCACUAAUGUUGAAGGUUGAUGUUAAUGUACACAUUGGGAGUGGCCUCAUAAGUUGCAUGUGUCAUCAUGCACAUUACUAAUGCAAAGGAGGUUGAAGUCAAAACUAUUGGAUUUAUUCCACUAGCAUCUAGAGAUGGAUUAAUUCUUCAUCUUAUUGAUGAUGUUUGUUCAUGCUCCUAGUUAUUGGAGAAACUUAUCUUUGUCUCUCCAACAGAUGACAUGAUUUUGUAUGUUAUUAAGUCAACUCCAAUUAUGUAAUGUUAGUCCCACCUUAGGGUGAGGCAAGCUAUGUUUUUUCGCCUGAAUGGAUUAUUUGUAAAGAUUAUGUGUUACAUUACAAAUAAAGAUGUAAGAGAAGUGUAAAUAAUGAGACCUCAUCAAAAAUUAUGGUUUUAGACCACAUUUCGAGGGGGAGAAUGGAAGCCCCAUUUAAUAUGAGAUAUAUCACGUUCACUUCUCCUACUUAGAUCCAAAUAUGCAUGUUAAUUCUCUAAUUAAAGAUGGAACCAGCGAGAAGUCUUAGUUGGAGAAUGUAUGAAAAGCACAUAGUAAUGUCGGUUCUCUAAUUAAGAUGCAACAAGUCUUAUUUAGAAAAAUGAAUAAAAUUACUCCUUUUAUUAUGUGUACUUAAUACCUUAUGAGCAUUAUGUUGAUUAUAUAUAUGACCAACAUCAUUUAUAAUCAUAUAUCACACUUCACUCAAGUGGCAAGUUUUGUCAAUAUCAUGUGGCUUGUGGUUAUAUUUCUGACUAUUGUCAUUUAUAAUCAUUUGUCACAAUUCAUUAAGUUCGUUUCCAUCUUCAGCCCAACGGUGUUGUGAUUUAGAACUGAAAUGAUUAUUAUCAAGAUAUUGGAUAUAUUUUCCAUUCUUUAAAUAAUGUGAUCAUCCGGAAACUGGAGCGUAUGAACAUGAAUCUUAAGGAUAACUCCAUUAGAUCUUGUUCGUAUGCAUCAGGUAAGUUGAGAAGAAAUGCAUAUUGCAACACUUAAUGUUGAGACUUAACAAUUUCCGUGUGAUUCAUAAUGUGUGUGAAUGAUCAUCUUAGAGGCUUGUGUUAAUGAGCUCUAAUGAUAUAUGGAACUCAAUAGAGUUUCCUCACUUAGUUGUUUUGACGCUUGUGUUAUUAUUACAAUAUGCUCUUGCGUUGACUAUGUUAAGAAUGUAUGCAUGACUUAACCGUAAGGUUUCGUCAAAUAGAUGAAGUUAACACAAGGUAUGUUGCCCCAAGAAAUUCAAUUAUGAAAUAAUAAGAGCGUCGGGACACUCAUACCAUAAAACUAGGGGGAGUAAGUAUACUAUCUUGAGAAGAUGGAAUAUUUUUGGCAGGCCAAGAAUUUUCUAUCUUCUAUUUAUGACAUAAAGGAUCUUGGUCAUGCCCUAUACUUUCUUUGUAUUGAGUUUCGCCAAGAUAUAGGUCCAAAAGGGGUAUAAGUUUUAUUAUGACGACAUACGUCGAUAGAGUACGAAAGAAAAUAGUAUGUAGUAGUACUCUUAUCGCGCCUGCUACUAAAGUCAAGGGCAAUAAAGGUGGACAUUUUAGUGUCUAAGGAACCAUUAUGAACUGAUCAGAUAAUGUCGGUUCCUUAUGCUUCAGCUGUCAGAACCAAUAUGUGUAUUCAAGUAUGAACAUGCCCUUAUUUGUGAUCAGAUAAUUGGCAAAUAUACAAGUAAGUCUAGAAAUGGACCACUGGAAAAGCCGCCAAAUGUCUUACAGAUAUGCAAGACAAUAAAGUUUACAUGCUCAUUAAUACGAAGUCUAAUAACUUCAAUAUCCUUGGAUAUUCAGACAUUAAUUCUGCGAGAUGUGUGGAUCUUAAAGUUUCCACGCUAUGUUACUUAUGUGGCAUGUCAAGAGGAAAAGCUCUAUAAUGACACUGAUGGCAUUAGAAAUAAUGCACUUACUUAUGUGGCAUGUCAAGAGGCUAUUGGGCAGGUUGUAUGUCAAGAAGUUUUAUUCCCGAAAUUAUGGUGGUAGACAACAUUUUGUAACCACCUACUGCAAUAUGAACACGCAGUUCUCUAUCUGAGUAACAACAAGUCAAUUGGUAUUGCCAAAACCAUUGAUAUAAUGUUUCCGUUGUGAAAGAUAGAGUCCAGGAUCAAACCUAUGAUGUAUGAUCUAUAGUCUUUGCGGUUCCGCUUACUAAGGCUUACCAUUUACCCUUUUAUGCCGGCAUGGGUUAGGAAAGCCUUUUGAUCCUGGAAAUUAGGACCAUCUUAUAAACCAACUCCCGUAAAGUAUUAUGUUUACCAUUUCAAGAUAGAAUGGUGUACUAUAGGUACCGAGGUUCAAUGGCAUUUCAUUGGUCAUAGUAACACUUUACCUUGGUGCGUUGCUUCUAUUGAUAGUGGGCUUAUGAUGUUUGUUAACCUUACGAUCAAGGGGGGGAAUGUUGGAAUUGAUCUCACGGUAAACAAACCAAGAGAAAAAUAAGGGAGACAAAGUCUCCACCCUCUCACGAGUGUGCCUUGAUCGGGAGCACAUAUAACAACUUUUGGUUCUAGUCCCAUGUACCCAACACACACAUAUAUAUAAGGAAAAAAAGGGGGUUUUAUUACUGAUAACAGAACCACAAUCAAAGCCUCCUAACUGCCGAUCCUAAACGUGUGGUGAGGUACGUGAAGACCAUCGACCACCACCGGCCACCGUGAAGGCAGUGCUGGCGGUUUCCUCCUGCCAUCGGCAAGGCUCCUGGAGCAGCUGCUGCAUCUCCACAAGUGCCUGCUGCCAUCUACGUCACCCAGGUGGUGUUGCCCUUCUUCCCCAGGCAUGUCUUCACUGUCGGAGACCCCAAGGUGCCGCCAUGGGCUAUCUCCUGCUGAUCCCUGCCAAUCACGGUUAGUCACUACUAUUCCGCAUAAGAGGUGUUCUAAUCACGAGAUUAAGAUCAUGGGUUAAUUUAAUCUAAAGGAAUUAUGUCUAACAAGAACGACCCUCACAUAAAAGAAGAAGCGGGCUUCUUCAUGUGUAAGAUGGUAUGGCUCCGUUUCAGUGUCAAAAUCCGAAGAGAACAGAUAUGUAAAGAACAUCAUAUCCAUCUAGCACGCCCUCUUCAGUGUAGCGCAGUCUAACAUUGUUCAUGGUUUCAGGUGGAGGCAUAGCCAUCUGAGCCCCGGUUGCAGGGUUGACUAGUAUGAGAUUUGAUCGCUUAUCCGCGGUGAUGAGCCAGCCGUGGGAGGAGCCCAUAACGUGGCGUGUGCGGAAGGCAGGCUCCGAUAGAGUGACGUGGUAAAGCUUGUUGGUGGACAUGUUAUGCAGGGUGACCGUGUCAGCAUCACGGUCGCCAGAUGAGUAAACAAGGCAGGGGCUCUGGUUCGGCGAGCACCGCGGAAGACGGCGGGCCUCCAGAUAAAUGAGGUGCCAUGAUCGACAGACCGCACCUAAGCUGAAGAGAUCAGGGAUCUCGAGAGUGCCAAAGAUCUGGAGGAGCAGG